GCUUGUCUCAAAGAUUAAGCCAUGCAUGUCUAAGUAUAAACUGCUUAUACUGUGAAACUGCGAAUGGCUCAUUAAAUCAUUUAUAGAUUAUUUUAUGGUACCUACUACUCGGAUAACCGUAGUAAUUCUAGAGCAAAUACGUGCGUAAAUCCAUACUCCUGGAAGGGACGUGUUUAUUAGAUUUAAGGCCAACCGAGCUUGCUCGUCUCUUAGUGAAUCAUGAUAAUCUCACGAAUCGCAUGUCCUCGCGCCGGCGAUAUUUCCUUCAAAUUUCUGCUAUAUAAAUUGGCGAUGGUAGGAUAGAGGCCUACCAUGGUGUUAACGGGUGACGGGGGAUUAGGGAUCGUUUCCGGAGAGGUAGCUGGAGAAAUGACACCCACAUCCAAGGAAGGCAGCAGG
Molecule: ribosomal RNA, 399 nt
Filed under: Tetraselmis cordiformis
Lineage: Eukaryota; Viridiplantae; Chlorophyta; Chlorodendrophyceae; Chlorodendrales; Chlorodendraceae
Description: partial small subunit ribosomal RNA
Rfam family: Eukaryotic small subunit ribosomal RNA
Source: RNAcentral